UACGUAGGGUGCGAGCGUUGUCCGGAAUUAUUGGGUUUAAAGGGUGCGUAGGCGGCUUUAUAAGUCAGUGCUGAAAUAUCCCGGCUUAACCGGGAGGGUGGCAUUGAUACUGCAGAGCUUGAGUGAAGUCGAGGUAGGCGGAAUUGACGGUGUAGCGGUGAAAUGCUUAGAUAUCGUCAAGAACACCGAUAGUGAAGACAGCUUACUAGACUUCAACUGACGCUGAGGCACGAAAGUGUGGGGAUCAAACAGG
This 253-nucleotide ribosomal RNA is filed under the name uncultured bacterium. RNAcentral describes it as "partial 16S ribosomal RNA". It matches the Rfam family "Bacterial small subunit ribosomal RNA", at positions 524 to 776 of the family's 1533-position model. The record is from RNAcentral.